AACUGUAAUUUUUGUUAGAGGAUGUGUCAUUGUGUAUUAAAUUUAGAACAUGUCAACUCAUCGCCCAUGUCACAACAAUUCUCACGUUAGCAACAUAUUCUCCAAACAAAAAUCUUUCUCCUUCCUUGUGUCGCCACCCUCGUGGGCACCGCUAGCCAUCGUAGAAACCACCACACCACAAACUUCAACCACAUUCCACCUAACUCAUGCGUCGCCAUCAACCAUGGCAACCACCGCACCAAAAACCUGCACGAAACCCAAAUGGAGCAA
RNAcentral lists this long non-coding RNA (270 nucleotides) under Vigna radiata. RNAcentral's name for it is "long non-coding RNA (VRAD_LNC007723)". Lineage: Eukaryota; Viridiplantae; Streptophyta; Magnoliopsida; Fabales; Fabaceae. The record is from RNAcentral.